UACGUAGGUGGCAAGCGUUGUCCGGAUUUACUGGGCGUAAAGAGCGCGCAGGCGGUCAGAUAAGUCGAAUGUGAAAGCCCCCGGCUCAACUGGGGAGGGUCAUUCGAUACUGUUCGACUCGAAGGCAGGAGAGGGAAGCGGAAUUCCCGGUGUAGUGGUGAAAUGCGUAGAUAUCGGGAGGAACACCAGUGGCGAAGGCGGCUCUCUGGGACGGUACUGACGCUGAGACGCGAAAGCGUGGGGAGCGAACAGG
RNAcentral lists this ribosomal RNA (253 nucleotides) under uncultured bacterium. RNAcentral describes it as "partial 16S ribosomal RNA". It matches the Rfam family "Bacterial small subunit ribosomal RNA", at positions 524 to 776 of the family's 1533-position model. The record is from RNAcentral.